Molecule: ribosomal RNA, 450 nt
Filed under: uncultured bacterium
Lineage: Bacteria
Description: SSU rRNA
Rfam family: Bacterial small subunit ribosomal RNA
Source: RNAcentral
AGAGCGAACGCUGGCGGCAGGCCUAACACAUGCAAGUCGAGCGCCCGUAGCAAUACGGGAGCGGCAGACGGGAUAGUAACACGUGGGAACGCGCCCUUCGGUUCGGAAUAACUCAGGGAAACUUGAGCUAAUACCGGAUACGCCCUUACGGGGAAAGAUUUAUUGCCGAAGGAACGGCCCGCGUCCGAUUAGCUAGUUGGUGAGGUAAUGGCUCACCAAGGCGACGAUCGGUAGCUGGUCUGAGAGGAUGACCAGCAUCACUGGGACUGAGACACGGCCCAGACUCCUACGGGAGGCAGCCAGUGGGGAAUAUUGGACAAUGGGCGCAAGCCUGGAUCCAGCCAUGCCGCGUGGAUGAUGAAGGCCUUAGGGUUGUAAAGUCCUUUUAACGGGGAAGAUAAUGACGGUACCCGUAGAAUAAGCCCCGGCUAACUUCGUGCCAGCAGCCGC